Molecule: ribosomal RNA, 253 nt
Filed under: uncultured bacterium
Lineage: Bacteria
Description: partial 16S ribosomal RNA
Rfam family: Bacterial small subunit ribosomal RNA
Source: RNAcentral
UACGUAGGAUGCAAGUGUUGUCCGGAUUUAUUGGGUUUAAGGGGUGCGUAGGCGGCCUAUUAAGUUAGUGGUGAAAACGUUCGGCUUAACCGGAUACCCGCCAUUGAUACUGAUAGACUUGAGUGCGACAGAGGGUGUUGGAAUGUGUGGUGUAGCGGUGAAAUGCUUAGAUAUCACGCAGAACACCAAUUGCGAAGGCAGAUGCCUAUGUCGUAACUGACGCUGAGGCACGAAAGCGUGGGGAGCAAACGGG